ACGGUUACCGGUGGUGGUGUGUCAAAAGCGGUUGCGCGGAAGAGUAAGGAGCCAUCCCAUCAGUUAGUAAGUAGGGUAAGGGCCUACUUAGACGAAGACGGGUACGGGGAAUUGUGGUUUGAUUCCGGAGAGGGAGCCUGAGAGACGGCUACCAGGUCCAAGGACAGCAGCAGGCGCGAAAAUUACCGAAGCCUCCGGUGAGGGCGGUAGUAAGGAGACGUGGAAACGAUGAGGAGGUAAAGAAUGCUCUGGUAACAGGAGGUCAAGACUGGUGCCAGCAUCCGCGGUAAUACCAGCUCCUGGAGUGUCUAUGAUGAUUGCUGCAGUUAAAGAGUUCGUAGUCGGGCUGCGUGACUGGCGUGAAAGGCCUUCUUUCAAGGGGGGCAGAGCGCUAGGAAAGCAGAGGAUAAGGAGCGUUUUGGGGCCAGGUUAUUAAGCGACGAGAGGUGAAAUUUGAUGACUCGCUUAGGAGGAACAGAGGCGAAAGCGCUGGCCAGGGGCGAAUCCGAUGAUAAAGGACGUAGGCUAGAGGAUCGAAGACGAUUAGAGACCGUUGUAGUUCUAGCAGUAAACGAUGCCGAUGCCGUGGUGCGUGCGCGCGACGCGGAGGAGAAAUUGAGUAGGGCCCUGGGGAGAGUACACGCGCAAGCGAGAAAUUUAAAGGAAAUUGACGGAAGAACACCACAAGGAGUGGAGUGUGCGGCUUAAUUUGACUCAACGCGGGACAGCUUACCAGGCCCGACGACCGCAGGAGUGUUGUACACGAUAGGUCGAAGAGUGGUGCAUGGCCGUUAACGACAAGUGGGGUGACCUUUGGGUUAAGUCCGGGAAGUAGUGAGACCCCUGCUGUUUUUUGGACAGGACAGGUGCUCAAAGCACAGGAAGGAAGGGUCAAGAACAGGUCAGUGAUGCCCUUAGAUGGUCUGGGCUGCACGCGCACUACAGUGGUCACAGAAAGGAUUUUCGAGAGAUAAUGGUGAUCGAGAGGGAAUGAGCUUUGCAAGAGGCUCAGGAACGAGGAAUUGCUAGUAAUCGCGGGCUCAUUAAGACGCGAUGAAUACGUCCCUGUUCUUUGUACACACCGCCCGUCGUUAUCGAAGAUGGAGUCAGGCGCGAACAAGCGAGAGCGAGUGAGUGCAGGAUUCUAGAUGUGAUACAAGUCGUAACAAGGUAGCUGUAGGAGAACCUGUAGCUGGAUCAGAGCGAUGGUAGAGAUUUGGUUUUGAUGAGUAUGCCCUGCGCAAGGGAUCUUUUGGCUCGCUGUGCGAGGAAGGGCGCAGCUGCGGGCGAAAUGUGCCGGAGCGGCAGCGGUGAUGGCACGUGCCCGAAGAUGCGCGAGCAGGCAGACCCCUUUGAAUUAAGCAUAUGAGUAGAGGGAGGAAAAGAAACUAACAAGGAUUCCCGCAGUAGCGGCGAGCGAAGAGGGAAGAGCCCGGAGUGCAAUCGCAGCGAUGCGAGAUGUCAGGAGUGCGCGGAACCGUUCUGGAAAGACGGGCCGGAGAGGGUGAGAGCCCCGUGGACGCGUGCGUUGGUGUUGGAGUAGCGGUGCUUGGUAGUGCACCGUGAAUGGGUGGCAGCGUGCAUCCAAGGCUAAAUACUGCAGCGAGACCGAUAGUGGAUAAGUAGAGUGAUCGAAGAAGGAAUAGUUUGAAAAGGUGAAAUUGCGCAGGGAGCCGAGCGGCUCGGCCCCGUCUUGAAACACGGACCAAGGAGUGCAAGUACGCGGCGAGUCGGGGGCGGUGAGUGCCCUGGGCGGAGCGAAGGCGAGGGAGCCGCGUGCCUGCGACCCGAUAGACUUGUGAACUAUGCCUGGAGGCUGCGAAGGCUGACGAAAGACAGCUGGAGGCAGUAAGCCGUUCUGAUGUGCAAAUCGAUGGCGAGAGCUGGGCAUAGGGGCGAAAGACCAAACGAACAGUCUGGUAGCUGGUUCCCCCCGAAAUGUGUAUAAGGACAGCACGCGAGCAGAGAGAGGCUAGGUAGAGCAAAGGUCGCUUAACGCGAGUGGCGAACGAACUGCGAAUGAGCCUGGCGGGCCGUGCGUGAAGACGGGCCGCGGACUUGAGCGAGCGUAGUGGGCGAGUUCUGGUAAGCAGGACUGGCGAAGAGGAAUGAACCUAGCGGGACGAUAAGGCACCCAACAUUGUGGCAGAGACGUGAAGGGUGUAGGUGAAUGAAGACGAUAGGGCGGUGGCCAUGGAAGUCGGCAUCCGGUAAGAAACGUGUUGCAACGUACCUAUGGAAUUCAGCUGCUCCGAAAAUUGACGGUGCUUACGCGAUGGCCGAUGCGUCUCUUGAGGUAGGGGGGCGUGCAGGUGCUGGAGAAGGUGUGCCGCGAGGCACGGUGGAGGCGCCUGCAGCGCAGAUCUUGGUGGUAGUUGUGAGAAUUCGUCUGGGAGGGCGAAGACCGAGGAGGAGAAGGUUUUCCUUACGAUUGACAACAGUGAGGAGUGAGCCGGUUCUGAGCGACGGUGUGGAUGCCAGAGCGACAGAGAAGCAGGA
This 2499-nucleotide ribosomal RNA is filed under the name Heterosporis sutherlandae. RNAcentral describes it as "bacterial SSU rRNA". The stretch from base 1 to 1203 matches the Rfam family "Microsporidia small subunit ribosomal RNA". Lineage: Eukaryota; Fungi; Microsporidia; Pleistophoridae. The record is from RNAcentral.